Molecule: ribosomal RNA, 506 nt
Filed under: uncultured bacterium
Lineage: Bacteria
Description: partial 16S ribosomal RNA
Rfam family: Bacterial small subunit ribosomal RNA
Source: RNAcentral
GAUGAACGCUAGCUACAGGCUUAACACAUGCAAGUCGAGGGGUAACGAGAGGAAAGCUUGCUUUCCUUGUCGGCGACCGGCGCACGGGUGAGUAACGCGUAUCCAACCUGCCCCCAACUAGGGAAUAACCUUGCGAAAGUAAGACUAAUACCCUAUAAUUUCCUCAGAUGCCAUCUGACGAGGAAUAAAGAUUUAUCGGUUGUGGAUGGGGAUGCGUCUGAUUAGCUUGUUGGCGGGGUAACGGCCCACCAAGGCAACGAUCAGUAGGGGUUCUGGGAGGAAGGUCCCCCACAUUGGAACUGAGACACGGUCCAAACUCCUACGGGAGGCAGCAGUGAGGAAUAUUGGUCAAUGGGCGGAAGCCUGAACCAGCCAAGUAGCGUGCAGGAUGACGGCCCUAUGGGUUGUAAACUGCUUUUAUACAGGAAUAAAGUUAGCCACGUGUGGUUAUUUGUAGGUACUGUAUGAAUAAGGACCGGCUAAUUCCGUGCCAGCCGCCGCGGUAA